AAUUACACAGAAAUACACUUCGAUUUAACAGAACCCUACCAGGUCAGCUUGGGAGACAGAAAAUAAGUUGCCUUAAAUGUAAAUAGGUGUAAUUACGUUUUUAUUCCUAAAUUCUAACCGAUUUUCUAAAAUUCAAGCGUCCCUUUCGUCCUGCAGACCUCACUGUGGUUGCUAAAUAAUUAUGCCCGGACAGAAAAAAUAAAAACAAAACAAAAAAAAAAAAACCAAACAAACAAAUGAGGAAAUAGAGGUAAACUGAGGUGCACCGAUAGCAAGGGUCCAGACACCUGCCAUGACCCCACCCUCAUUCCAAUGUGCAGGGGUGAGGCCUGGAGCGAAGCAAUGCCUGGUCCCAGCUCACUGGCCCUUAGAGAUGACCACAGAUCCAGGGACUCCGCCCGGCGGCCAAGGGCAGCGGCCUGGUCAGGCGCUGCGGGCGCAGUACUCGGGAAGAAGCCAGGCUCUCUCAGAGAGAGACAGGAGAACAUUUUUACCAUCUUCCUGCAGUGGGACUUAGACAAAGGAAUAACGAACUGCAGAGCUGAGUGAAGCCCUGCACCUCCAGCUGAAGUUCAAGCCCAAGUGAGUCUAACAUCUCAAUUACAAGACACGGAGAAAGCAUGCCAGCCAGCCAAAACCGCCUGAAACCGAGGGAAGUCAUGAGGUUAGCACAUACAGUACCUUUAAACCACCAUUAGAACACUAUGAAUAUAUUUAGGAGUUUAAAAGAAAACACACAAUAUUAGAGAAAUGUGUGCUAUUAAAAAUACCAAACAGAAUAUUCUGCCCUUGUUGAUUUGAAUCCCCAGAUGGGAAGCCUGCAGAUGGAGACUGUCUGGUUGCAUAUAUUUAGUGUGAGUUUGUGUGUGUGUGUGUGUGUGUGUGUGUGUGUGUGUGUGUGUGUGUGUGUGUGUGUUAUUUGGGGAGCAUAAGAGUUAUAAACAGACAAGCAUAUUGAUCCGGUGUAUUUCGAAAUAUUAACAAGUUUAAGGGAUGCUCACAAAUAAAGAGUAACCAGACUAUUUAAAAAUUAUCCCUCACAACUUGGCCUUUUCCUAUCUAAAAUAUGCUAUGCUAUGACUUGAAGGGCUCUGAAAUACAGGCAAAUUAGGAACACGUUUAGCACAAUGUGCGUAGGGGUCUUUUCUGCUCAGUGCUUCUUUCUGUAUAAAUAGCUGUGGGGGAAAAAAUAGACCUGUCACUUUGCAAAUCUCACGGGGAUGAGCUGGACGACUUAAUGUGAAGGCAGCACUUAUGUACAGGCAAGAAAGCCUCGCAAUUUCCCUGAGAGGAUGUUUGGAGGACUCACAGGGAAGCACUGACAAUGGAACCAGGGAAAGAUGAGAAAGAACGGCACUAGUGAAGAUUCAUCAGUCACCCAUCUUCAUCCUAGUCCCAUGCUUAGGUUACCAUAGUAACAGACCUUUAGGAUGCCCUUAAGGCAAUUUACAGAAUUACUGUGCACACUGAAUACAGGCAACAUGAAGCAUUUGCUGUUGAAUAUGUUUAGUUACAUUUACGACAAAUAAUUCAUCAAGCCUCUUAGACAUAAAUUGUAUUUUGGGCAAAGGAAUAUAUUUUAACCAAUAGUUCAUAAUUAUUUUUAAGUAAAGUAUAGCUUAUAACUACUCCUAGGUUUAAAAAAAAAGUGUGUUAUCUGCUUUGCCUUUGGGAAUUGCAUCAGUUUCUUUUUGUCAUUGUGAUAAAAUGCCUUGACCGAAGGCAACUUAAGGAAGAAAGCGUUUAUUUGACCUCAAGGUUUCAGAGGGAGAGUUUAUAUUGGCAGGGGAGGUGUGGCAGCAGUGGUUAGAACAGGAAGCGGAGAGAUCACAUCUUCAUCCAUGCACAGGAAGCAGAAAGAGCAAACAAGAAGUGGAGUGACGCCAUAAACUCUCAGAGCCCGCCCUGCAAGGAGUCGAAGUCCUGAGUGGCUGAUGUCACUCAAUCCUGAGUGCACUCACGACACAGGCUCAGACAUGGCGGUACUAAGGCCUCAGACCUAUGGGAAUUGGCAAAGCCUCUCACCAUAUGGGCCAGGCUUGUCCCUCCAGUCCAAGCACCUGUGUCUACGGAGGACUGAACACUGCGUAAACAAAAACUAGCAACUGUGGCUUCUUCCUCAUGGAUGUUCACUGCCUGAGGUUGCUCACCUACAGAGGACUUCCUGCCAAGACUAGCUAACCCCUCUCCUGUGUGGAACCUAAUAAAUGGAUCUUGGUUGUGGAAGUAGUAGGUAUGGCUCUUGGAGCUCACAGACCACUUGACUCCA
This 2269-nucleotide small RNA is filed under the name Rattus norvegicus (Norway rat). RNAcentral describes it as "uncharacterized LOC102553885". The record is from RNAcentral. Lineage: Eukaryota; Metazoa; Chordata; Mammalia; Rodentia; Muridae.